RNAcentral lists this transfer RNA (83 nucleotides) under Helianthus annuus (common sunflower). It matches the Rfam family "tRNA". From Rfam's summary of the family: Transfer RNA (tRNA) molecules are approximately 80 nucleotides in length. Their secondary structure includes four short double-helical elements and three loops (D, anti-codon, and T loops). The record is from Rfam by way of RNAcentral. Lineage: Eukaryota; Viridiplantae; Streptophyta; Magnoliopsida; Asterales; Asteraceae.
GGGAGAGUGGUCGAGUGGUUAAAAGCGACAGACUGUAAAUCUGUUGAAGUUUUUCUGCAUAGGUUCGAAUCAUGCCUCUCCCA